Molecule: ribosomal RNA, 402 nt
Filed under: uncultured bacterium
Lineage: Bacteria
Description: bacterial SSU rRNA
Rfam family: Bacterial small subunit ribosomal RNA
Source: RNAcentral
UGGGGAAUCUUGCACAAUGGGGGAAAGCCUGAUCCAGCCAUGCCGCGUGAGUGAUGAAGGCCCUAGGGUUGUAAAGCUCUUUCACCGGUGAAGAUAAUGACGGUAACCGGAGAAGAAGCCCCGGCUAACUUCGUGCCAGCAGCCGCGGUAAUACGAAGGGGGCUAGCGUUGUUCGGAAUUACUGGGCGUAAAGCGCACGUAGGCGGAUUGUUAAGUCGGGGGUGAAAUCCCGGGGCUCAACCCCGGAACUGCCUUCGAUACUGGCAAUCUAGAGUCCGGAAGAGGUCAGUGGAAUUCCCAGUGUAGAGGUGAAAUUCGUAGAUAUUCGGAGGAACACCAGUGGCGAAGGCGGCUCACUGGUCCGGUACUGACGCUGAGGUGCGAAAGCGUGGGGAGCAAACA